RNAcentral lists this ribosomal RNA (730 nucleotides) under uncultured bacterium. RNAcentral's name for it is "bacterial SSU rRNA". It matches the Rfam family "Bacterial small subunit ribosomal RNA", at positions 771 to 1501 of the family's 1533-position model. The record is from RNAcentral.
AACAGGAUUAGAUACCCUGGUAGUCCACGCCGUAAACGAUGUCGACUUGGAGGUUGUGCCCUUGAGGCGUGGCUUCCGGAGCUAACGCGUUAAGUCGACCGCCUGGGGAGUACGGCCGCAAGGUUAAAACUCAAAUGAAUUGACGGGGGCCCGCACAAGCGGUGGAGCAUGUGGUUUAAUUCGAUGCAACGCGAAGAACCUUACCUGGUCUUGACAUCCACGGAAGUCUUCAGAGAUGAGAAUGUGCCUUCGGGAACCGUGAGACAGGUGCUGCAUGGCUGUCGUCAGCUCGUGUUGUGAAAUGUUGGGUUAAGUCCCGCAACGAGCGCAACCCUUAUCCUUUGUUGCCAGCGGUCCGGCCGGGAACUCAAAGGAGACUGCCAGUGAUAAACUGGAGGAAGGUGGGGAUGACGUCAAGUCAUCAUGGCCCUUACGACCAGGGCUACACACGUGCUACAAUGGCGCAUACAAAGAGAAGCGACCUCGCGAGAGCAAGCGGACCUCAUAAAGUGCGUCGUAGUCCGGAUUGGAGUCUGCAACUCGACUCCAUGAAGUCGGAAUCGCUAGUAAUCGUGGAUCAGAAUGCCACGGUGAAUACGUUCCCGGGCCUUGUACACACCGCCCGUCACACCAUGGGAGUGGGUUGCAAAAGAAGUAGGUAGCUUAACCUUCGGGAGGGCGCUUACCACUUUGUGAUUCAUGACUGGGGUGAAGUCGUAACAAGGUAACC